Molecule: unclassified non-coding RNA, 627 nt
Filed under: Saprolegnia sp. BMF13
Lineage: Eukaryota; Oomycota; Saprolegniomycetes; Saprolegniales; Saprolegniaceae
Description: sequence contains ITS1, 5.8S rRNA gene, ITS2
Rfam family: 5.8S ribosomal RNA (bases 140-294)
Source: RNAcentral
AUGUACUCUUUAUGAGGCUCGUGCUGCCCUCGUGGCAGCUAGCCGAAGGUUUCGCAAGAAGCCGAUGUCAAUUUGAAUCCUUUUUAAACAACGACUGAUCAAAACUGCAGAUAGAAAUGUCUGCAUUCAAUUGAAAUACAACUUUCAACAGUGGAUGUCUAGGCUCGCACACCGAUGAAGAACGCUGCGAACUGCGAUACGUAAUGCGAAUUGCAGAAUUCAGUGAGUCAUCAAAAUUUUGAACGCAUAUUGCACUUCCGGGUUAGUCCUGGGAGUAUGUUUGUAUCAGUGUCCGUGAACACAACCUUGUUUCAUUCCUUGAUGGUAUGAAGCAGACUUUGAAGGUCUUGUAAUUACAAGUCCUUUUAAACGACGGUACCUAUGCGUCCUCGUGAGAUGUAUUAUUUAAAGGUAUGCCUGCGCUCCUUUCGAGAGUCUUGUGUGGCGGCACACAGCAUUCAAAGAGAGAGCAAAUCGCGGUAGUUUUGCUUGUACUUCGGUACGAGUGGACACAUAUUGCUUUUUGUGAUUUCGGCGAGUCUGUUGUUUAAGCACAGGGCACGUAAGGAGAGUAGGUAUGCUGGUGCAUUUCUUGACGCAUGGAGGCAAAUUGGGAAUUCAAUCCAA